UUUUGGGAUAUGAUACUGCUCAGAUGUUUAAGCCAUAGACAGGAGAUGCUGAUCUUCAAAUUCUAAAUCCAGCUUGUUGGCAUAUUAUGUAAUGGUCCACCUGUUUCAGUCUUGCCAUCUGGAUAACAGAAGUACCACAUAACUGGGUUCUUUAAAACAUAUGCUAGUUAUGGCAAUAUAUACUAUUUGGAGGCAGAGCUUGGCUAGUUUAUUCCAAUUUUUGGCUUACUAAAAACUCACAGACAUGGAUUCUACCAGGGAAGCCGAAAGGCUCUCUGCUCUUCAGCCACCAUGCAAGACAAUUUCAGCCAUAGAACCUAUGGACACUGCCCUUUGGGCAAAGGACACAGAGGGAGCUGUCAUGCAUAAAGUUAUCAGCACUCAAGAUGAAAAACGGAAGCCCUUCCUCGAGGCAGUCCACCUGCCUGGCAAACAGUUGUUUUUUUAAGUAGGUAAGACCUCCCAGAUCCUGGAGAGAAAUGUGUACCUUGUGGCUAGAAGACCUUUCAGGAGCACAGCUUGGGUGGGCAUUUUGAAGGAAUGGCUCUUUUUAUUUUUUUUCCCUAUAUUUCCUGCAUAGUUUUAACUGGGCUUUUGCAGAGAAAGAAAUACCCAAUCUAGAGCCAUCAGCCUGGAGUUUUACCCAGAAAGGGGUAGGGCGGGGGCAGGCGGGUAGUGGAGAAACAAACAAACAAACUACUCACCACUGGCUCCUCAGAGGCUACAUACAAUGAUCUUGACCUGAUGUCUGCAUUAGAAUUGCCUGCCAGCCUCAGGGCAUUUUCCCUCCGGAGAAAGGGGCUUUACCAUCCAGGGCCAUCUGGUGGGGCUGCAAAGGACAUCCAUAUGGCAAAUAGGGGUGAAACACACCAGACCUCGUCCAAUCUGCUAUAUACCAGUGUUUGUUUCAAAGUGGAAAAAGCCAUGUAGCUCUGGGUUCUCACCAGGAGAAGGCCAGCUGUUGUUUCCCCCGAAAACUUGAAGGUUGGGGCCUUAGCUGAGUGAACUGCAUCUAACCUCAGCCUUGGAGAUACAGAAACCCACCAUCACCUCAUUUAGGCUUUCAGAGGUGGGCUUAUGUGAGCCAAGUUCAUAUGACUGAUAUGUGAAACUGGUCACUAGUUAAUAUAAUUAAAUAAAAAAUAAUU
RNAcentral lists this long non-coding RNA (1148 nucleotides) under Sus scrofa (pig). RNAcentral's name for it is "lncRNA (ENSSSCG00015013134.1)". Lineage: Eukaryota; Metazoa; Chordata; Mammalia; Artiodactyla; Suidae. The record is from RNAcentral.